This 501-nucleotide long non-coding RNA is filed under the name Brassica napus (rape). RNAcentral describes it as "long non-coding RNA (BNAP_LNC007584)". Lineage: Eukaryota; Viridiplantae; Streptophyta; Magnoliopsida; Brassicales; Brassicaceae. The record is from RNAcentral.
UUUAUUUUUGAGGUAAGAGUUUUAAAAGAUUCUUCACAAAAGUAGAGAAAAUACUUUCAAGAUCGCUAAAUAUUUACUAACUGUUUUUGAACUACAUUUUUCAAAACAUCCAGUAGAAAUUAGAUUCUACUAUAAGUAGGUUAUAGAGGACACCGUAGAUCAGAGGCCCACGUGUAGUCGGACUCGAUAAAGGAGUGACAAGGAGAUGCCUUUGAUGAAGUAAGUGAGAGACGAGGACUCGAUCAGACCUCUGAGUUGUAAACAGGGAGCGAAUCGUCAUAAACUAUUCCAACAUCAGAUUGAGAAACAACCGGAUGAAGGAUCAAAACGGAGAGCAUGCAAAAACAUCAGCAAUGGAGAUGAGACACAUGCAACUUGAAGACAAACCUCCACCGUAGUUCUUGCAGAUCCAGGACCUCAAAGCAAGCUAACACAAAACAGAUCAAGGACAGAUCUGAAGGUUAAGCUUACCACCAUCAAAAUCAACAUGCAAACCACCCG